This 2904-nucleotide ribosomal RNA is filed under the name Escherichia coli O157:H7. RNAcentral describes it as "bacterial LSU rRNA". It matches the Rfam family "Bacterial large subunit ribosomal RNA". Lineage: Bacteria; Pseudomonadati; Pseudomonadota; Gammaproteobacteria; Enterobacterales; Enterobacteriaceae. The record is from RNAcentral.
GGUUAAGCGACUAAGCGUACACGGUGGAUGCCCUGGCAGUCAGAGGCGAUGAAGGACGUGCUAAUCUGCGAUAAGCGUCGGUAAGGUGAUAUGAACCGUUAUAACCGGCGAUUUCCGAAUGGGGAAACCCAGUGUGAUUCGUCACACUAUCAUUAACUGAAUCCAUAGGUUAAUGAGGCGAACCGGGGGAACUGAAACAUCUAAGUACCCCGAGGAAAAGAAAUCAACCGAGAUUCCCCCAGUAGCGGCGAGCGAACGGGGAGGAGCCCAGAGCCUGAAUCAGUGUGUGUGUUAGUGGAAGCGUCUGGAAAGGCGCGCGAUACAGGGUGACAGCCCCGUACACAAAAAUGCACAUGCUGUGAGCUCGAUGAGUAGGGCGGGACACGUGGUAUCCUGUCUGAAUAUGGGGGGACCAUCCUCCAAGGCUAAAUACUCCUGACUGACCGAUAGUGAACCAGUACCGUGAGGGAAAGGCGAAAAGAACCCCGGCGAGGGGAGUGAAAAAGAACCUGAAACCGUGUACGUACAAGCAGUGGGAGCACAGAGCAAUCUGUGUGACUGCGUACCUUUUGUAUAAUGGGUCAGCGACUUAUAUUCUGUAGCAAGGUUAACCGAAUAGGGGAGCCGAAGGGAAACCGAGUCUUAACUGGGCGUUAAGUUGCAGGGUAUAGACCCGAAACCCGGUGAUCUAGCCAUGGGCAGGUUGAAGGUUGGGUAACACUAACUGGAGGACCGAACCGACUAAUGUUGAAAAAUUAGCGGAUGACUUGUGGCUGGGGGUGAAAGGCCAAUCAAACCGGGAGAUAGCUGGUUCUCCCCGAAAGCUAUUUAGGUAGCGCCUCGUGAAUUCAUCUCCGGGGGUAGAGCACUGUUUCGGCAAGGGGGUCAUCCCGACUUACCAACCCGAUGCAAACUGCGAAUACCGGAGAAUGUUAUCACGGGAGACACACGGCGGGUGCUAACGUCCGUCGUGAAGAGGGAAACAACCCAGACCGCCAGCUAAGGUCCCAAAGUCAUGGUUAAGUGGGAAACGAUGUGGGAAGGCCCAGACAGCCAGGAUGUUGGCUUAGAAGCAGCCAUCAUUUAAAGAAAGCGUAAUAGCUCACUGGUCGAGUCGGCCUGCGCGGAAGAUGUAACGGGGCUAAACCAUGCACCGAAGCUGCGGCAGCGACACUGUGUGUUGUUGGGUAGGGGAGCGUUCUGUAAGCCUGUGAAGGUGUGCUGUGAGGCAUGCUGGAGGUAUCAGAAGUGCGAAUGCUGACAUAAGUAACGAUAAAGCGGGUGAAAAGCCCGCUCGCCGGAAGACCAAGGGUUCCUGUCCAACGUUAAUCGGGGCAGGGUGAGUCGACCCCUAAGGCGAGGCCGAAAGGCGUAGUCGAUGGGAAACAGGUUAAUAUUCCUGUACUUGGUGUUACUGCGAAGGGGGGACGGAGAAGGCUAUGUUGGCCGGGCGACGGUUGUCCCGGUUUAAGCGUGUAGGCUGGUUUUCCAGGCAAAUCCGGAAAAUCAAGGCUGAGGCGUGAUGACGAGGCACUACGGUGCUGAAGCAACAAAUGCCCUGCUUCCAGGAAAAGCCUCUAAGCAUCAGGUAACAUCAAAUCGUACCCCAAACCGACACAGGUGGUCAGGUAGAGAAUACCAAGGCGCUUGAGAGAACUCGGGUGAAGGAACUAGGCAAAAUGGUGCCGUAACUUCGGGAGAAGGCACGCUGAUAUGUAGGUGAAGUCCCUCGCGGAUGGAGCUGAAAUCAGUCGAAGAUACCAGCUGGCUGCAACUGUUUAUUAAAAACACAGCACUGUGCAAACACGAAAGUGGACGUAUACGGUGUGACGCCUGCCCGGUGCCGGAAGGUUAAUUGAUGGGGUCAGCGCAAGCGAAGCUCUUGAUCGAAGCCCCGGUAAACGGCGGCCGUAACUAUAACGGUCCUAAGGUAGCGAAAUUCCUUGUCGGGUAAGUUCCGACCUGCACGAAUGGCGUAAUGAUGGCCAGGCUGUCUCCACCCGAGACUCAGUGAAAUUGAACUCGCUGUGAAGAUGCAGUGUACCCGCGGCAAGACGGAAAGACCCCGUGAACCUUUACUAUAGCUUGACACUGAACAUUGAGCCUUGAUGUGUAGGAUAGGUGGGAGGCUUUGAAGUGUGGACGCCAGUCUGCAUGGAGCCGACCUUGAAAUACCACCCUUUAAUGUUUGAUGUUCUAACGUGGACCCGUGAUCCGGGUUGCGGACAGUGUCUGGUGGGUAGUUUGACUGGGGCGGUCUCCUCCUAAAGAGUAACGGAGGAGCACGAAGGUUGGCUAAUCCUGGUCGGACAUCAGGAGGUUAGUGCAAUGGCAUAAGCCAGCUUGACUGCGAGCGUGACGGCGCGAGCAGGUGCGAAAGCAGGUCAUAGUGAUCCGGUGGUUCUGAAUGGAAGGGCCAUCGCUCAACGGAUAAAAGGUACUCCGGGGAUAACAGGCUGAUACCGCCCAAGAGUUCAUAUCGACGGCGGUGUUUGGCACCUCGAUGUCGGCUCAUCACAUCCUGGGGCUGAAGUAGGUCCCAAGGGUAUGGCUGUUCGCCAUUUAAAGUGGUACGCGAGCUGGGUUUAGAACGUCGUGAGACAGUUCGGUCCCUAUCUGCCGUGGGCGCUGGAGAACUGAGGGGGGCUGCUCCUAGUACGAGAGGACCGGAGUGGACGCAUCACUGGUGUUCGGGUUGUCAUGCCAAUGGCACUGCCCGGUAGCUAAAUGCGGAAGAGAUAAGUGCUGAAAGCAUCUAAGCACGAAACUUGCCCCGAGAUGAGUUCUCCCUGACCCUUUAAGGGUCCUGAAGGAACGUUGAAGACGACGACGUUGAUAGGCCGGGUGUGUAAGCGCAGCGAUGCGUUGAGCUAACCGGUACUAAUGAACCGUGAGGCUUAACCU